GGAGAGAUGACAGAGUGGUUGAAUGUACCGCAUUCGAAAUGCGGAGUACCUAACGGUAUCGGGGGUUCGAAUCCCCCUCUCUCCUCCA
This 88-nucleotide transfer RNA is filed under the name Candidatus Liberibacter europaeus. RNAcentral's name for it is "tRNA-Ser". It matches the Rfam family "tRNA". Rfam says of the family: Transfer RNA (tRNA) molecules are approximately 80 nucleotides in length. Their secondary structure includes four short double-helical elements and three loops (D, anti-codon, and T loops). Further hydrogen bonds mediate the characteristic L-shaped molecular structure. tRNAs have two regions of fundamental functional importance: the anti-codon, which is responsible for specific mRNA codon recognition, and the 3' end, to which the tRNAs corresponding amino acid is attached (by aminoacyl-tRNA synthetases). tRNAs cope with the degeneracy of the genetic code in two manners: having more than one tRNA (with a specific anti-codon) for a particular amino acid; and 'wobble' base-pairing, i.e. permitting non-standard base-pairing at the 3rd anti-codon position. Lineage: Bacteria; Pseudomonadati; Pseudomonadota; Alphaproteobacteria; Hyphomicrobiales; Rhizobiaceae. The record is from RNAcentral.